GCCCAGCCAGCUCAGUUGGUAGAGCAUGCAACUUGUGAUAUUGAUGUCUUGAGUUUGAACCCCACGCUGGGUG
RNAcentral lists this transfer RNA (73 nucleotides) under Felis catus (domestic cat). It matches the Rfam family "tRNA". From Rfam's summary of the family: Transfer RNA (tRNA) molecules are approximately 80 nucleotides in length. Lineage: Eukaryota; Metazoa; Chordata; Mammalia; Carnivora; Felidae. The record is from Rfam by way of RNAcentral.